This 451-nucleotide ribosomal RNA is filed under the name uncultured bacterium. RNAcentral's name for it is "partial 16S ribosomal RNA". It matches the Rfam family "Bacterial small subunit ribosomal RNA", at positions 354 to 796 of the family's 1533-position model. The record is from RNAcentral.
GUGGGGAAUAUUGGACAAUGGGGGGAACCCUGAUCCAGCCAUGCCGCGUGUGUGAAGAAGGCCUUUUGGUUGUAAAGCACUUUAAGCGAGGAGGAGGCUACCGAGAUUAAUACUCUUGGAUAGUGGACGUUACUCGCAGAAUAAGCACCGGCUAACUCUGUGCCAGCAGCCGCGGUAAUACAGAGGGUGCAAGCGUUAAUCGGAUUUACUGGGCGUAAAGCGCGCGUAGGUGGCCAAUUAAGUCAAAUGUGAAAUCCCCGAGCUUAACUUGGGAAUUGCAUUCGAUACUGGUUUGCUAGAGUAUGGGAGAGGAUGGUAGAAUUCCAGGUGUAGCGGUGAAAUGCGUAGAGAUCUGGAGGAAUACCGAUGGCGAAGGCAGCCAUCUGGCCUAAUACUGACACUGAGGUGCGAAAGCAUGGGGAGCAAACAGGAUUAGAUACCCCGGUAGUCC